GGGGUGAAUCAUCGAAUCUUUGAACGCACAUUGCGCCUAUUAGUAUUCUAGUAGGCAUGCCUGUUCGAGCGUCAUUUCAACCCUCAAGCCCUAGUUGCUUGGUGUUGGGAGCUUGCCGUGAAACGCAACUCCCCAAAGCCAGCUGGCAGAGUUAGGAUAUGCUCUAAGCGUAGUAAACUUUACAAGUCUCGCUUCUGAAGCUGUCCUGGCCUUCUCGCCAUAAAAGCCCCAAUUCUUUCUAUGGUUGACCUCGGAUCAGGUAGGAAUACCCGCUGAACUUAAGCAUAUCAAUAAGCGGAG
RNAcentral lists this unclassified non-coding RNA (300 nucleotides) under uncultured Xylariales. RNAcentral's name for it is "sequence contains 5.8S rRNA gene, ITS2". The stretch from base 1 to 74 matches the Rfam family "5.8S ribosomal RNA", at positions 81 to 154 of the family's 154-position model. Lineage: Eukaryota; Fungi; Ascomycota; Sordariomycetes; Xylariales. The record is from RNAcentral.